This 468-nucleotide ribosomal RNA is filed under the name uncultured bacterium. RNAcentral's name for it is "partial 16S ribosomal RNA". It matches the Rfam family "Bacterial small subunit ribosomal RNA", at positions 28 to 507 of the family's 1533-position model. The record is from RNAcentral.
GACGAACGCUGGCGGCGUGCUUAACACAUGCAAGUCGAACGGAAAGGCCCUGCUUUUGUGGGGUGCUCGAGUGGCGAACGCGGGAGUAACACGUGAGUAACCUGCCCUUGACUUUGGGAUAACUUCAGGAAACUGGGGCUAAUACCGGAUAGGAGCUCCUGCUGCAUGGUGGUGGUUGGAAAGUUUCGGCGGUUGGGGAUGGACUCGCGGCUUAUCAGCUUGUUGGUGUGGUAGUGGCUUACCAAGGCUUUGACGGGUAGCCGGCCUGAGAGGGUGACCGGGCACAUGGGGACUGAGAUACGGACCAGACUCCAACGGGAGGCAGCGGUGGGGAAUAUUGCAGAAUGGGCGGAAGCCUGAUGCAGCAACGCCGCGUGCGGGAUGACGGCUUUCGGGUUGUAAACCGAUUUCGCCGGUGACGAAGCGUGAGUGACGGUAAUGGGUAAAGAAGCACCGGCUAACUACGUG